This 256-nucleotide ribosomal RNA is filed under the name uncultured bacterium. Its description in RNAcentral is "partial 16S ribosomal RNA". It matches the Rfam family "Bacterial small subunit ribosomal RNA", at positions 524 to 777 of the family's 1533-position model. The record is from RNAcentral.
UACGGAGGGGGCUAGCGUUGUUCGGAAUUACUGGGCGUAAAGCGCACGUAGGCGGCUUUGUAAGUUAGAGGUGAAAGCCCAGGGCUUAACCCUGGAAUUGCCUUUAAGACUGCAUCGCUAGAAUCGUGGAGAGGUAAGUGGAAUUCCGAGUGUAGAGGUGAAAUUCGUAGAUAUUCGGAAGAACACCAGUGGCGAAGGCGACUUACUGGACACGUAUUGACGCUGAGGUGCGAAAAGCGUGGGGGAGCAAACAGGG